AAUUCAGUUUGGCGGAGAAAAACGCUAUGGGCCUCUCGUUCUGCUCGUCAUCCCGUUGGAAGAGUACGCCUCCUACCCCAUAAUGUAAGGCGUCGCACUGUAUGUAGAAGUGCCGCUUGAAAUCCGCGUGUACCAGGACUGGUGCCGAGGGCGUCUGUGAGCGGACCGGUCAUCUCAGCAUAGUUUUUCAUAAAGCGCCGGUACCAGCCCGCAGUUCCCAGGAAACUACGCAAUUCUCGAACAGAUCGCGGCUCGGGAAUGCGCUAAAUGGCCCACACACGAUCCGGAUCCAUCUUCAGCGCUCCUCCUCCCACUAUAAAUCCCAGACGCUCGGCAACCUGUCGCAGAAUCUUCACGUGCGUUUGGAAGUCCUAUAAUCAGCAAGUCGUCGAGUUACGCAUAGACGUUUGAACGCAUCUCAACCGGAAUCACCUUAUCGACCAGUCUACAUAGGCGUUGUGCGGCAUUGCAGAGGCCAAAGGGCAUCAUACGGAACUGGCCCCUUCUGUGAGCGUGAUUCGCCUGCUUGGAUCGCACCCCUCUUCACGUUUCCCGCGCAAUUCGGACAGGUUGGACAAUAUGCAUCGGGCUUUCCACACCGGUAGCAGAAAAUUCGCCUCUCCGAUGCCAUACAGUCCCU
Molecule: long non-coding RNA, 640 nt
Organism: Drosophila miranda
Lineage: Eukaryota; Metazoa; Arthropoda; Insecta; Diptera; Drosophilidae
Exons: 4
Source: RefSeq, a predicted model, not a curated record